This 115-nucleotide ribosomal RNA is filed under the name Paramormyrops kingsleyae. Lineage: Eukaryota; Metazoa; Chordata; Actinopteri; Osteoglossiformes; Mormyridae. The record is from RNAcentral.
AUCAGCACACAUACCACCUGCCGUUCACCCUUGGAGCUCCGCCUGACGUUAAGCAGGUUUUGGCCUUGCCUGUACUUGGAUGGGAGACCAACUUAAAAAACCAGUGAUGCUGCUG